UUCACCUGAAGGGAAGUGUCUACUAUGUCCAUGUAGCCAUGUGGAGGCUCAUGAAAUGCUUUUCUAGUUAGAUAUUUGAAUAAAACUCAGGGGAAACAGUUUGAUAAAAUAAAUAGAACAAUAGCCAUAUAUGGAGCCUGAUAGGCCUGGGUUUAGAUCCCAGCUUUGUUACUCACCAACUCUGAGAUGUCAAGCAAGUCACUUUUAAACUCUUUGGGUUUCAGUUUCUUCAUCUGCAAAAUGGAUACAAUAGCUAUCUUCGAAGGCAAGUGUCAAAAGAGAUGCUGUAAUUUACCUGACACACCUAUUAGGAACUCACCAAAGUGGAAACAUGGAUUCAAUCCAGCGGAAAGAUGGAUGCAAUCAUCUUCCCUUUUCACACUGGGAGUCAGGGAGAACCUGGGUAAUUAAGCAACAAGAGCACAGAUUCCUAAGGACACUUAAAAAUCAAGAUUUCUUGACUAGAGGAGUAAUAGUCACAAUGAUAGCUGCUAAGACAAAAGUGUUUUAGGUACCUACUGUGUGCUAUGUUCUAGCUUUCACACUUGUGAAGGAGCUGAAAUGCUGGGGCUGUGUAAAUGCUCCCAGGUGAUAUUCUGAUUUAAAGAAGAAACAAGCU
This 619-nucleotide long non-coding RNA is filed under the name Microcebus murinus (gray mouse lemur). RNAcentral's name for it is "lncRNA (ENSMICG00000048411.1)". Lineage: Eukaryota; Metazoa; Chordata; Mammalia; Primates; Cheirogaleidae. The record is from RNAcentral.